Molecule: unclassified non-coding RNA, 334 nt
Filed under: soil metagenome
Description: partial contains 5.8S ribosomal RNA, internal transcribed spacer 2, and large subunit ribosomal RNA
Rfam family: 5.8S ribosomal RNA (bases 1-120)
Source: RNAcentral
GAUGAAGAACGUAGCAAAAUGCGAUAAGUAAUGUGAAUUGCAGAAUUCAGUGAAUCAUCGAAUCUUUGAACGCACAUUGCGCCCAUUAGUAUUCUAGUGGGCAUGCCUGUUCGAGCGUCAUUUCAACCCUUAAGCCUAGCUUAGUAUUGGGAAUCGACUUUACUGUCGUUCCUCAAAUUCAACGGCGGAUUUAUAGCAAUCUCUGAACGUAGUAAUUUUUUUUCUCGUUUUUGAAAUACUAUAAACCUCAGCCGCUAAACCCCCAAUUUCUUAUGGUUGACCUCGGAUCAGGUAGGAAUACCCGCUGAACUUAAGCAUAUCAAUAAGCGGAGGA